UACAUGGACCUUCUUUUCUGUUUCUGUGCCCACGGUCCACCUGGGUACAGCCAUGGCCUUCCUUCUGGCUGAAGUCCUGGAGAUGGCCUGAUAAAACAUCUCAGCCCCGUGCGUGCAUUGGAUUCAGCAGAGACAUUGGGGAUGCCAUUGGCAUCAAUGUCAAAAGUGACUUCAAUCAGAGGAACAUCCUGGGUGCAGGAGGUAUGCCUGUGAGUUCAGCUUGCCAAGCAGGUUGUUAUCCCUUGUACGGGCGCACUCACCUUCAUGACUGAAUGAGCACACCAGCC
RNAcentral lists this long non-coding RNA (287 nucleotides) under Ictidomys tridecemlineatus (thirteen-lined ground squirrel). RNAcentral's name for it is "lncRNA (ENSSTOG00000032332.1)". The record is from RNAcentral. Lineage: Eukaryota; Metazoa; Chordata; Mammalia; Rodentia; Sciuridae.